UACGUAGGAGACGAGCGUUGUCCGGAAUUACUGGGCGUAAAGCGCGUGUAGGCGGAUGAGCAAGUCUGCUGUGAAAGCUCCUGGCCUAACCGGGAGUGGUCGGUGGAAACUGCUCGUCUGGAGGACGGUAGAGGUAGGUAGAAUUCCCGGUGUAGUGGUGAAAUGCGUAGAGAUCGGGAGGAAUACCUGUGGCGAAGGCGGCCUACUGGGCCGGACCUGACGCUGAGACGCGAAGGCGUGGGGAGCGAACGGG
Molecule: ribosomal RNA, 253 nt
Filed under: uncultured bacterium
Lineage: Bacteria
Description: partial 16S ribosomal RNA
Rfam family: Bacterial small subunit ribosomal RNA
Source: RNAcentral